Long non-coding RNA from Cucurbita pepo subsp. pepo (vegetable marrow), 637 nucleotides. RefSeq lists it as uncharacterized. NCBI's taxonomy places the organism in Eukaryota, Viridiplantae, Streptophyta, Magnoliopsida, Cucurbitales, Cucurbitaceae. The record is from RefSeq and is a predicted model, not a curated record.
ACCGUUGAAAAUGGAGUGCUCAAGAAAUGUGUCUUAGCGGUAACCCUCAAGCCCCAGCCUUGAGUUCAGCCAACUGCAGACUUCGUUCAUCUCUUUUGGGACCGUGUAAUGGCCGAGCCUGCAAAUAAUGCUAUAUUGGAACUUUUUUCCAGGAUCAUCAUGGAUGAGCUUCUUAUGGAGGAGGUUCUGAUAGCAGAGCAUUACAGAUUUUCAAAUAUUUGGUGCGAGGAAUAGAUUCUACAGCUGAAAAAGAUCAUUUUGACAACACGCUCACCACUAAGUGGCUACACAGAGGUCAGAUGUUUAAAUAGAGUGACAGCAUGCCCCAUUCCUCAUAUGGGAUGAUGGGAUGAUGGGAUGAUGGGAUGAUGGGAUGAUGGGAUGAUGGGAUGAUGGGAUGAUGGGAUGAGCCUCUCCAACCCAGCUAAAGGAUAUCUUUCUUCUAUCUUCACCUUGUGUCUAGACUAGAUAUAAUGAAAGCAUAAUAUCACUAGGCAGGAAGCUGGUGCAAAUCCAUUGACUAGACAUUUGUGAACCACAGCUCAGUAAACUCAUUUUCUGUCCUACAAUAUUUUUUUAUGUUCCUAAGUGUCUAAGCUAAAGUUAUUCUCACGAGAUUAAUUAUUUGGUCUUAUUA